Molecule: long non-coding RNA, 391 nt
Filed under: Erythranthe guttata (spotted monkey flower)
Lineage: Eukaryota; Viridiplantae; Streptophyta; Magnoliopsida; Lamiales; Phrymaceae
Description: long non-coding RNA (EGUT_LNC002510)
Source: RNAcentral
UAUACAUUCGUUUUCUUCUUGAUAUUGGCUUUUGCUGCUCGUAAGUUAUUUUUCUCGAAUUCACCGGAUGUAGCAUUUAAUUCUUUUCAUUUCGAUUAAAUUUCUAAACAUUUUUUUUUUCUCUCUAUGUUUGGUAUUUUGCAGAGGAGAGCAUGGGUAAAAAUUGUGGUAUUCUACUUAAGGAAAAUUCUUGCGUUAACGACGAGACUUGCAGGGUACAAUGCGUCCCAUUAGGCUACCCAAUUGGCUUGUGCCUGAUCGGAGGAGCCGUACCACGGCAAUGUAAUUGUAUAAAAACGGAUUGUUAGUCAAUUUUGUUUUUUUACUUGGUCUCGGCAUAUGUAGCUUCUCUAUACCGUUACGUUGAGUUAUGAAUAAAAUUGAAUAAACG